Molecule: unclassified non-coding RNA, 224 nt
Filed under: Hevea brasiliensis (rubber tree)
Lineage: Eukaryota; Viridiplantae; Streptophyta; Magnoliopsida; Malpighiales; Euphorbiaceae
Source: RNAcentral
GGGAACUUUAGCUCCAGGCUUUCUUCCGUAGAAGGUGAUAGCAGAGGAGCAAUGUUUUCUUCACGAAGGGCAUGCUCAGCAGCAGCGCUGCUCACCCGGCUUGCUCUGGGCCGGAAUAGCUGUGACAAUAUCAGUGUUAUUGUGGUGGACUUGAAAACAAACCACAGUGCUGUGUAGUUUCUAGAGCUAGAAUGUAACAUACGAGGCCCUUUUCGAGUUCUUUC